Molecule: small nucleolar RNA, 202 nt
Filed under: Sciurus vulgaris (Eurasian red squirrel)
Lineage: Eukaryota; Metazoa; Chordata; Mammalia; Rodentia; Sciuridae
Description: Small nucleolar RNA U3 (ENSSVLG00005000865.1)
Rfam family: Small nucleolar RNA U3
About the family: Small nucleolar RNAs (snoRNAs) are involved in the processing and modification of rRNA in the nucleolus. There are two main classes of snoRNAs: the box C/D class, and the box H/ACA class.
Source: Rfam by way of RNAcentral
AAGACUAAACUUUUAUUUCUAUAAUUCAUUACUAGAGACCUUUCUCUGAACACACAGAGCACCAGAAACCACAGGAAUAAGUACAGGGUUCUCUCCUGAGUGUGGAACUGGCUCUCCGUGCUGCUUUGCUGUAACUGCCAUUUGCCAUUGAUAAUCAUUCUCUACUUUGGGGAGGGUGAGAGGGAGAAGAUACCAUCUGAGU